UAGAACAUAGUAUAGUGGAAGUAUGUGGAGUUUUGAUCUCCAUGGGGCAGGUUCAAGUCCUGUUUUUCUAA
This 71-nucleotide transfer RNA is filed under the name Elseya lavarackorum. RNAcentral describes it as "tRNA-Gln". It matches the Rfam family "tRNA". From Rfam's summary of the family: Transfer RNA (tRNA) molecules are approximately 80 nucleotides in length. Their secondary structure includes four short double-helical elements and three loops (D, anti-codon, and T loops). Lineage: Eukaryota; Metazoa; Chordata; Testudines; Chelidae. The record is from RNAcentral.